This 253-nucleotide ribosomal RNA is filed under the name uncultured bacterium. RNAcentral describes it as "partial 16S ribosomal RNA". It matches the Rfam family "Bacterial small subunit ribosomal RNA", at positions 524 to 776 of the family's 1533-position model. The record is from RNAcentral.
UACGAAGGGGGCUAGCGUUGCUCGGAAUCACUGGGCGUAAAGCGCACGUAGGCGUAUUGUUAAGUCAGGGGUGAAAUCCUGGAGCUCAACUCCAGAACUGCCUUUGAUACUGGCGAUCUCGAGUCCGGGAGAGGUGAGUGGAACUGCGAGUGUAGAGGUGAAAUUCGUAGAUAUUCGCAAGAACACCAGUGGCGAAGGCGGCUCACUGGCCCGGUACUGACGCUGAGGUGCGAAAGCGUGGGGAGCAAACAGG